This 206-nucleotide ribosomal RNA is filed under the name uncultured bacterium. Its description in RNAcentral is "partial 16S ribosomal RNA". It matches the Rfam family "Bacterial small subunit ribosomal RNA", at positions 568 to 774 of the family's 1533-position model. The record is from RNAcentral.
CGCGCAGGUGGUUUCUUAAGUCUAAUGUGAAAGCCCACGGCUCAACCGUGGAGGGUCAUUGGAAACUGGGAGACUUGAGUGCAGAAGAGGAUAGUGGAAUUCCAAGUGUAGCGGUGAAAUGCGUAGAGAUUUGGAGGAACACCAGUGGCGAAGGCGACUGUCUGGUCUGUAACUGACACUGAGGCGCGAAAGCGUGGGAGCAAACA